This is a long non-coding RNA of Solanum dulcamara, 1499 nucleotides long. RefSeq lists it as uncharacterized. NCBI's taxonomy places the organism in Eukaryota, Viridiplantae, Streptophyta, Magnoliopsida, Solanales, Solanaceae. The transcript is spliced from 3 exons. The record is from RefSeq and is a predicted model, not a curated record.
UCACCCUUCCCAUCCGCCGCAGAGGCUUCACCCUGAAACGGUUCUUCAACCAUAAACUUCCACUUCUCCCCUUCAUCCCUUUCACACUUAUUGUGUCUCUUCAAAACGUUGCACCUUCUUACAUUGGUCGCCAUCGCUUUACAUAUUAAAGCAUGGACUACUCUGUUUCUCCAAAUUACUUCCUAUUCUCACAUCAUCUCCCUUCUUCUGCUCACCAACUUCCACUUCUGUGCCUUCCUUCUACUAAAAAUCCCUCUUUAAUCAAAUCCAGAAGUUCUCCACCGCUGCGUUUGAAGUUUCUCUCAAUGCCGCACAGGCCCUACUAAUUAAAAACAACAGAAAAAAUACAUGACUUUGGUACUAAGAAAUAGUCUACUGUUGUCCUUUCAAUGAAGAACUGAAGGCUGAGAUUAGUAAAGGAUAGCAUGCCAAAAAUUACACGUCAACAAUAAUAAUGACCAGGUAUAUAUAUAAUUGAGUUCCAGAAAUGUGGCUUGUCGCAUGCACAUAUACUUCUCUUCCUUCAUAAAACAUCAAAAAGCCCACCCAGAUCAUGUUGUCAUUCAAGCUUAACAGAUGCUGACUUCCUUUGGCACCCUGUUAUGCUAUGACAAUACAUAAGAGCCAAGGGCAAACUCUUCAUAGGGUUGGGUUGUAUCUUCCAAAUAGGUAUUCAUACAUAAGCAAUUAUAUAACGCAGUAUCACAGGUAAUAACAAAGAGAAGUAUUAACAAUCCUCAAUGUGGACGAGGACACAAAAGACCGAGAUUUAUUAAAAAUAUUAUCUAUAAAGAACUUUGUACUGAUGGAAGUAAGGAAUGAUGUUGUAAAAAGGGAGCUAUUGUUCUAUGUGCCUGGUAAUUUGUGAAAUGGGUUGACCAUCAACUGAAAAAAAUGAGAGCUUUUCUUUACUUCAAUUCUGAAAAGAGGGGCAUUUUCACCUUUUUGGUUUAAUUAAUGUGUCAAUGAGCUAUUUCAUCUUGUUGCAUGCGCUUGCUUAGUGUUGUUUACUUCUUUGUGUGGUUUGCGAGCUAUUGCACAAGAGUGAGGUGUAAGGUUUACCCUGUGUGCACCCAAAGGAUAGUGGUUGUGGGUUCCCUUGCCAUAAAAAAAGGAGCUACUUCAUCUUUCAUAUCUGAUUAAAGUUCUUAUUUAUGGAAGCCUGGGGGUGUAUUUCCCCUUUUGUUUCAUUUUAGAUGUAGUAGGGAGGAAAUCUUUGGGUUUUGAAGUGAAAUCUUAAUAUUUUUGAGAGUUGAAUAAUAAAUAUUUGUGUAUGUUUUGGACUUGGCAUGGAGUUCUGCCGAGAGAUUUUGAAACUUGUUGAAAAUAGGACAUAUAGGGCUCACUGAUGUUCCUUUGGAGCCCUGUAUUGAACUUCAACAAUGAAUAUUGUCCAUCUUUAACCUUUAGUUCUUCAUCAUUCAUAUUUAGAUGCUUGAGACUACAGGUCAGCUAUUCUAGUUUCUGAAAGUUGGUUCAGAGUUUUCUUAGUAUCUAUA